Molecule: long non-coding RNA, 1670 nt
Organism: Bubalus bubalis (water buffalo)
Lineage: Eukaryota; Metazoa; Chordata; Mammalia; Artiodactyla; Bovidae
Exons: 2
Source: RefSeq, a predicted model, not a curated record
CAUCACUGACUCGAUGGACGUGAGUUUGAGUAAGCUCCAGGAGUUGGUGAUGAACAGAGAAGCCUGACAUGCUGUAGUCCAUGGGAUCACAAAGAGUUGGACAUGACUGAGUGACUGAUCUGAACAGACCGGGGUUCCCUCAAGAUGGAUGGCACACUUUGUGCCUCUUCACUGUAAGAGCAACUCUCUUCCACUCCCUCAGGGAUGUUACUCUGACUCUUCUGAGCAACUACUGCUAGCAAGUGAUAUCCUUCAGUCUUUUUAUAAACUUACUGGACCAGCAGAUGUUGGGGGAAGGCAGAGGAAACUAACCAAUAUCAGCCUUGGAAAGAAUCAUUAACUUCCCUGUCAGAGGCAUGAGUCACCCUCCAUCUAUUGGACACUGUAGGGUUGCAGGAAGUUCCUAUCAUAAUCUUUAUAAUGUAGGCAUUGUGCAGUCCCAAAGAAGAAGGGGCAGGUACGCAGACUCAUCUCAUUGCAAAUGCAGGAACUUCUGUGUUCUUCUGUUUAAAAGGUGGCCCAUCAACAGAGAACAGAAUAUGCCAGUGUGACCAUGAGUCAUUAAGCAAAACCAUGGCUGCUUAGGUUGAAAUGUCUGCCAAAGCUGGGAGCAGUAAGACUGUCCCAGUCUCCCACUCCCUCCCAGGAAGGAUCAAAGAAGUUUCAUCUCAAGACAUACAUGAGGAGAGGAAAGAACAUGGUAUCUGAACUUCUCAAAUAAAGACAUGGUUGGAUCCUUUAUAAGGGCAAGGAUAGAACCACAACUUUUCCUGAAAUACAUUAUGAGGAAAAGGUGAAAAUGAGCCAACCUAAGAAUAUAUUAGAUACAUAAUAUGUAAUAUAAUUGUCUUCAAAUCUAAUAUAUUAGACAUAUUAGAUCUGAAGAUAAUUCAUUAUGACCAAGUUAGGUUUAUCCCAAGUAUGUAAAGCUACUAGACACUGGAAAAUCUAACUGAUAUAAUUCACCCACGAAUAUAUUCCUAUAGUUGGUCUCUAAAGAUGACCUCUUGCCAUCUUGUCCUAUGUUGUCCCUCUGGACCUGAAUCUAGGCUAGCCUGUGAUUUACUUUAAACCACUGAACAUGGCUAUGCUGAUUUCAGGAAAAUGCCUUAAAGCCUGGAAACUCCUGCUUCACACUUUGGGCCACCAUGGAAUAUAUCAGCUACCAAGCUGGAGAGACCUUGUAAAGGCCAAAUAUAGAGACCAUAGAGAGAAAAAGGGCCCUGAGACUAUGUUGGGAAAGACAGGAACAGCAUUCUCAGCAUGCCAGCUGCACUGGGACUUCCAGAAACCUCCAAGGAAGUGCAAGGCAUUUAAUGAGCCAUCUGGGACCUUUCAACAUCCAAGCUGAGAAUCCAGAUGAAUCCAGAGUCAGAGCUACUGCCACUGCAUGAGACCACCCAAACAAGAAUGGGAGAGAAACACCUUGCUGAACCCUCUUAACCCACAGAAUGUAAGGGAUAAUAAACGGCAGAAAUUUGGGUAGAGACUGUUAUAAAACAAUAGAUAAAAGAGAAAAUUCAUAAAACAAUAGAUAAAAGAAAAAAGAUCAUUUCAAAGAAUGCAGAAAUGCAGAAAAAAAAACAUUUGGGAUCAAUUCUACAUUCAUUAAUGAUAAAAAAUAACAGAAUGGACCUAACUUCCUUAAUCUGAUAAUGGAAAUCUAUGGG